Molecule: ribosomal RNA, 460 nt
Filed under: uncultured bacterium
Lineage: Bacteria
Description: partial 16S ribosomal RNA
Rfam family: Bacterial small subunit ribosomal RNA
Source: RNAcentral
CCUACGGUGAGCUGCAGUGAGGAAUAUUGGUCAAUGGCCGUAAGGCUGAACCAGCCAAGUAGCGUGAGGGAAGACUGCCCUAUGGGUUGUAAACCUCUUUUAUGCGGGGAUAAAGGUGUCCACGUGUGGAUGUUUGCAGGUACCGCAUGAAUAAGGACCGGCUAAUUCCGGGCCAGCAGCCGCGGUAAUACGGAAGGUCCGGGCGUUAUCCGGAUUUAUUGGGUUUAAAGGGAGCGUAGGCCGGUCUUUAAGCGUGCCGGGAAAUUUUGUGGCACAACCAUGAGAGUGCGGCGCGAACUGGAGACCGGGAGUGCGGGGAAGGCAGGCGGAAUUCGUGGUGUAGCGGUGAAAUGCUUAGAUAUCAGGAAGAACCCCAGUGGCGAAGGCAGCCUGCCGCAGCGUUACUGACGCUGAAGCUCGAAAGCGCGGGUAGCGAACAGGAUUAGAUACCCGAGUAGUC